Molecule: transfer RNA, 105 nt
Filed under: Pneumocystis murina B123
Lineage: Eukaryota; Fungi; Ascomycota; Pneumocystomycetes; Pneumocystales; Pneumocystaceae
Rfam family: tRNA
About the family: Transfer RNA (tRNA) molecules are approximately 80 nucleotides in length. Their secondary structure includes four short double-helical elements and three loops (D, anti-codon, and T loops).
Source: Rfam by way of RNAcentral
GACAAUGUACCAAAGUGGUUACUGGGUUGCACUCGAAUCGUACGUAUAUACGUACGCGUGAUGCAAUGGGCUUUGCCCGCGUAGGUUCAAAUCCUGCCAUUGUCG